Molecule: transfer RNA, 91 nt
Filed under: Erysipelotrichaceae bacterium
Lineage: Bacteria; Bacillati; Bacillota; Erysipelotrichia; Erysipelotrichales; Erysipelotrichaceae
Description: tRNA-Ser
Rfam family: tRNA
About the family: Transfer RNA (tRNA) molecules are approximately 80 nucleotides in length. Their secondary structure includes four short double-helical elements and three loops (D, anti-codon, and T loops).
Source: RNAcentral
GGAGAAAUACCCAAGUGGCUGAAGGGUCCGGUCUUGAAAACCGGUAGGUGAUUAACGUCGCGCGGGGGUUCAAAUCCCUCUUUCUCCGCCA